AACGCCAAAUACCCACCAAACGAUCAAAUGAAAAGGAGCCUCGAAAAACUGGUACAAGAAAGCGUCGAUGCCACUUGUAUGACUAAGGUCUCCUUGAGCUAUGGGCCGGGCAGUCUAAUCGUGUACGUAACCCUGACAACGCCAGCAAACGUCUCAGAUCCCUUUGUACCGCUCAAGAAUGCCCUUCUACAAAAUGCGCCAAGAUACAACUUAACGAUUAAACCGUCAAGUGUCAAAUUGCAG
Molecule: long non-coding RNA, 243 nt
Organism: Nematostella vectensis (starlet sea anemone)
Lineage: Eukaryota; Metazoa; Cnidaria; Anthozoa; Actiniaria; Edwardsiidae
Exons: 3
Source: RefSeq, a predicted model, not a curated record